UUCCAUCAACACUUAUAUACCAGUUAAAAAGCAUGAUCCAAUGGUCUUAGUAGUAAACAACUCGGAUAGAAGCAUAGGCUAAUGUGAGGCAGUUACACAUGCCGCAAAAGCAUCCUAAAGACGGAUGUUUUUCACGCAAGCUAUAUUAGUAGAGAAACUAUUGCUCAGCUUUGUAAAUCGUAACCAGAAAAAGGAAAGAGAAGCCUAUGAAAAAUUGCACAGGAGCACAUAUUAACAGAAGGAAAAUCCGACUAAAAUAUAAAAUCCUAUAACUUAGUCCUAGAAUCCUUUCGUAUAAGGAGUGAAGAAAUGUUUGUAGUCUCAAGAGCCUCGUCGGUACGAAAUCUUUCAACUAUUUUGUUACCCGUGUCAAUAUCCCUCAGUUCCAGCGGCUGCAAUCAAGAGUCAAGAAUAAAUCAGAUUGGUAAUAAAACAAAUGACAAAUUUAAGCUCCAGUUAAGUCAAGCAUAUAUAAAAAAACAUGCCCCUGAACUUAAUUUUCGUCAUUUGGGGGAUGUAUAGCAUGGAACUGCAGAUAUGCCAAUGGGGAGUUCUAAUUCAGAGCAUCCCUGAAUAAAGAGUGUGCAGUAAGAAAUGAUAGCAGUAUUUAUACUCAGGGUCGCCGGAGACAUGCAUCGAAGGAAAUAUGUGCAUUGCACCACCAUAUUUCUUGGCUGACUCAACCAAGUCACAUACUUUCUCCUGCUACCGACGUCUGUGUUACUACAAGGGGAAGAAAAAAGUUCAACUAUUACCACUCCACUUUCAGUAUAUAUACGGUGCCAACAACUUGGCAUAGAACCUAAUGUUUUUCUGUGAGUUCAUGGAUCGGCCAUUGGGAGAAUAUUACAGGGUGGAGGCAUAAGGAGAAUAAUCAAAUAGCAAGACUGUACAAGAAAAUAUGCUGCAACUUGCAACUCAUGAAAUUCUGUUUAAAUUUAUAGGUCAUAUUUGAUGCAUAGGAAGCACAGGUAAAUACAGAAGUUCAGCUUCAAGCCACUCAUCAAAUAUGGGGGACCUCCCUUGCUAUGCCCAGACCAACAAAAAUUGAACUGUCGAUACAACCGGACUGACAAAAUGAACUAUUGAAAGGGAAACCUACUAUUUUUUUUGCAGAACAUUUUCAAUUUGACAAUGCAAAAAGUAGUAAACACCACAAGAUGUGAUUUUUUUCCCAUUCCUCAAUCGAGAGUAACGAUCAACAACCAGCUCAUGUUGCAAAUAUAUUUCAAUUGAACAAAGCAGGCUACAUCCAGCAAUAACUUGACCUAAGUUUCUACUUGUGACCUUUUAUAGUGGUUGUUUAUGCCAUGAACAAUAAGGAGUGGAAAUUAAUAUAUCCCGAACCAAUAUUUCGAAAUUUGUAGAGGCCAAGUAAUUCAUUAAUCUAAUGUUUCCUGGUGAGACACACCAUUCAUCCAUAGCAGGUUAGGCAAGCAAGCUUAACUAACCUACUGCAAUGGCCACUGCUGCACCACGAGCGUCGGGGAAGACGUCCAGGGAAGAAGGCGGCGGCGCGAGAGGCCGUGGGGCCGGAGGGUCGAGGAGCGGGGGAGGCUGGAGAUGCUGAACGGCGCGGACUCGAAUGGGGCUCGAGGAAGGGAAGGAUUGAUCCUUUGUGCGCUAGGUUUUCGGGACGCAUUAGUGCCUUUCGUGCUGGACAAAAUAACUUGCAAAUCAAAAUCUGUAUAACUUUACUCCUGAACCUGGCCAACAUUAAUUAGCAUGGCCCCUUUUGCUCAUAUUUGUACAUUUAGUCGGCAAACCUUUCCGAAAUUGUAUCUGAAAGAAGCUGCUACUGUCUUUUGCUUGUUCUCGCAAAGAAUUAAAUCCAUAGUAUGCCAAGAAGCUAUGAAAAUUUUGCAAUUGCUUCAAAGAAUAUAAUACAUUGCAGAAAUAAAAUACUCUAUCAGAGAGUUGGCAGGCGAGGUAGUAGGAACAAGAGCAAGAACUAACUUUGAGAGGAGAUGGGCAGACUCUUGCAUCGUGCCCUGGCUGACACCUACGCUUACGCCAUGCCUCAUGUAUCCAUUCCUCAUUCCUCUGUG
RNAcentral lists this long non-coding RNA (2048 nucleotides) under Triticum aestivum (bread wheat). Its description in RNAcentral is "long non-coding RNA (TAES_LNC024445)". The record is from RNAcentral. Lineage: Eukaryota; Viridiplantae; Streptophyta; Magnoliopsida; Poales; Poaceae.